UACGUAGGCAGCGAGCGUUGUUCGGAGUUACUGGGCGUAAAGGGUGUGUAGGCGGUUGCUUAAGUUUGGUGUGAAAUCUCCCGGCUCAACUGGGAGGGUGCGCCGAAUACUGAGUGACUCGAGUGCGGGAGAGGAGAGUGGAAUUCCUGGUGUAGCGGUGAAAUGCGUAGAUGUCAGGAGGAACACCGGCGGUGUAGACGGCUCACUGGACCGUAACUGACGCUGAGACACGAAAGCGUGGGUAGCAAACAGG
This 253-nucleotide ribosomal RNA is filed under the name uncultured prokaryote. RNAcentral's name for it is "partial 16S ribosomal RNA". It matches the Rfam family "Bacterial small subunit ribosomal RNA", at positions 524 to 776 of the family's 1533-position model. The record is from RNAcentral.